This 331-nucleotide unclassified non-coding RNA is filed under the name soil metagenome. RNAcentral describes it as "partial contains 5.8S ribosomal RNA, internal transcribed spacer 2, and large subunit ribosomal RNA". The stretch from base 1 to 120 matches the Rfam family "5.8S ribosomal RNA", at positions 35 to 154 of the family's 154-position model. The record is from RNAcentral.
GAUGAAGAACGUAGCAAAAUGCGAUAAGUAAUGUGAAUUGCAGAAUUCAGUGAAUCAUCGAAUCUUUGAACGCACAUUGCGCCCGCCAGUAUUCUGGCGGGCAUGCCUGUUCGAGCGUCAUUUCAACCCUCAAGCACAGCUUGGUGUUGGGACUCGCGUUAAUUCGCGUUCCCCAAAUUGAUUGGCGGUCACGUCGAGCUUCCAUAGCGUAGUAGUAAAACCCUCGUUACGGGUAAUCGUCGCGGCCACGCCGUUAAACCCCAACUUCUGAAUGUUGACCUCGGAUCAGGUAGGAAUACCCGCUGAACUUAAGCAUAUCAAUAGCGGAGGA